AGUCGAGGGGUAUAGUUCUUCGGAACUAGAGACCGGCGCACGGGUGCGUAACGCGUAUGCAAUCUACCUUUUACAGAGGGAUAGCCCAGAGAAAUUUGGAUUAAUACCUCAUAGUAUAAUGACCUGGCAUCAGGAUAUUAUUAAAGUCACAACGGUAAAAGAUGAGCAUGCGUCCCAUUAGCUAGUUGGUAAGGUAACGGCUUACCAAGGCUACGAUGGGUAGGGGUCCUGAGAGGGAGAUCCCCCACACUGGUACUGAGACACGGACCAGACUCCUACGGGAGGCAGCAGUGAGGAAUAUUGGACAAUGGGCGCAAGCCUGAUCCAGCCAUGCCGCGUGCAGGAUGACGGUCCUAUGGAUUGUAAACUGCUUUUAUACGAGAAGAAACACUACUUCGUGAAGUAGCUUGACGGUAUCGUAAGAAUAAGGAUCGGCUAACUCCGUGCCAGCAGCCGCGGUAAUACGGAGGAUCCAAGCGUUAUCCGGAAUCAUUGGGUUUAAAGGGUCCGUAGGCGGUUUAGUAAGUCAGUGGUGAAAGCCCAUCGCUCAACGGUGGAACGGCCAUUGAUACUGCUGAACUUGAAUUAUUAGGAAGUAACUAGAAUAUGUAGUGUAGCGGUGAAAUGCUUAGAGAUUACAUGGAAUACCAAUUGCGAAGGCAGGUUACUACUAAUUGAUUGACGCUGAUGG
This 691-nucleotide ribosomal RNA is filed under the name Flavobacterium sp. S43.04.P.COS.MI.H.Brain.D.M. RNAcentral describes it as "bacterial SSU rRNA". It matches the Rfam family "Bacterial small subunit ribosomal RNA", at positions 60 to 752 of the family's 1533-position model. The record is from RNAcentral. Lineage: Bacteria; Pseudomonadati; Bacteroidota; Flavobacteriia; Flavobacteriales; Flavobacteriaceae.